UGGGCAGUCAGUCCUGGGGUUUGCCUAAAACAAGCUCAGAAGGGGAGGAAGACAUGACUUCUGCAGCUCUGAAGGGUGAUUGCUUUUAUCACUGAGGACGCCACGUUACUUUAUUGCCUUUCUGAGCUCUUUAACGCAGCAAUAAGCAAGCUGUUGAAAUAUUUUUAAAUCCGUAAGUGUAAUAAAGAAUCAAGCAAGCUACAAAACUCCCCCUCUGGUGGCAGCUCCCGCACCCCAGGCCCUGCCCUGUUGCUCUUGUGCCCGUGUGCCUGGAGGGAUGUGUGUGCACGGGCUGGUUGGGGACGCUUACUUUCCUUUCCCUCUUAACCUGAAUGAUUUUGUAGAAAUCUGCAAGCAAUUGAAUGUAACUGUUUAAACAAUCAAAUCAUAUAAAUUACGGGGUGAUUCUUGAAGUGAAAUGGCAUUCUGUGGGAGUAUAUCAGUGUCGGUGGUGCUUUCGCUGCCUGGGAUGGAGGUUUGGUGUGAUCCUGCAGACCCGGCACCCAGCAGCUCCUGUCUGCCCUGGCGCGGGCUGAUAAGCACUGCCCUUGUCCCUCGCUGGGCGCCCCGAAAGCUUCAUCCAUCUCUGGGCUCUGCCCGACAACAAACAGAGCGUGGAAGGGAAUGCAGGACACAGCAAAGAAGGGAGACGGAGUUUGUGUUUUUGAUGUUGUGUUGUUGUGUUUGUGACACGCGCCCGCUUCUGGGUGUGACGAGCGGUGGUGCAGCCACAUUGAGUCUGCUGAGGAAACGGGAAGCCAUGGGGAUGGCGAAGUCGCACUCGGUGUUUUAAACAGCCUAAGAGAGCAGACAGGCUGUUGGAAAGCCAGCAAAGCCAGGCUGGUGCAGAACCGGAAAGCAGGGACCGCAGCCACGAGACAUCCGAUGAAACCUUCACAGGAAUGGGAAUGAAGGGAGGUGAGAGCUGCUAGUGAUGUGCUGAAUAAGGAGGGACUCGGCUCCUUCUCGCAGGUGCGUCCAGGACGAAGUAGGGAAGGACCCUGCGCCCGGAGGAGAUGCACACACGACCCGUCAGUCCUGUCAGCUGCCAUCCGGCCCACAGCCCGUGCCUCGUCUGCCACUGGUGAAGGCCAGCGCAGGUCCGUGAGUAACCUGGCACCCGGCACCGCAGUGGGCUUAUGGCAGUGGUCUGUCAGAUGGGAGCUGCCUCUGGCCGGGUGCAUACAGGGCUUGUUUGGGGACGGGCAGGGCACCCAGGGGGAAAGUUAAAAUUCUCUGCAUCAGGGGGAAGACUUGUGUUUAGUGCUGAUUUUCUUUCAAGAAGCUUCUGGAGACGUUUUGCUCAAGGAUAGACCAAGGGCUUUUAGAAUGAGGCGCAGUGAGGGGUUAAAUAGUCAGAAACUGUGGGAAUGGUGUCAUUUGUGGGUGUGGGGAUGCAGACUAAACAGUGUCUUUGUGCCACAGCAGUGCUUGCAGCCCCCGACCCUGCGCGCUGCCAGCCGCAUCCAGCUGCAUGCAGCCAGGGUUGGGGUGGGUCAGCACGGUCCCUGUGUGAUGCAUGGGGACGGGCUGGGAGAUGGGAACAUGUGCGUCAUGGGGCCUGGUGCUGGUCGAGGGCUCCAGCCCUGCAGGCUGCAGUGACUACUCACUUUAAUUAAGCUGUCACAGCGAUUUUCCCAACAAGGCAGAACCCCUCUGCUCCAUCUUAAAAGUUACUUGGCUGGUGCACGUGCUGCUCAGGUCAGAGAGGUGUCAGGGGAAUGAACUCGCUGGCAUGGGAUUGUGGAAGUGUGGCAAGACAAAGCGCUAUCAACCAUAGCUAAAGUUGAUGUACUGCAUCAGGUCAGAAACUCUGCAGCGUUGAUAAAUGCUUCGUUGAUGUCGCACAGUAACUGAUAUUGCAAUCGUUUCAUGUAACUAUGCUUAGCUUGAGUACUUUCAUACUGUUUGUGGAAAAGAGUGGGUAGAAAGAGGCAGCUUUCCUCCAGGGGCAAAGACUGCCAUGCCCUGAGGCUCCUCACCUGCUGGUAGGGUGCCCGUGGUACCUGAAGAGAAGAAAUUGCAGCAGGACUUUUCCUCAGUCCUUUCCUUAAGUGUUGUGUUACCACAAAAUGUGAAUUUCGAAACAUGAUUUUAACAGUGAAACACUACAGAGCGCCCCACCACAGCACACAGUUGACACCCCAAGCUUCAGCAGGCUGAGGUGUGACCUUACACUGGUCUCUCUGAAACAUCUUCCUUCUCCCAGAUUUAAUGGAGAAGCCCUGACAGCAGGGGGCUUUAGACCACUUCAUAAAGUACGUCUUAGGGUGCAAUGGUGUUCUUUGAAGAGAAAAACAUGAGGGUGAGGGGAAAUAUCCCAGUUCCCUGCAAUCCUGCCCUACUUCUCUUCCUACAGCUUUAAAAUGGUGCAAAGGAGGAGUCAGCUGAAUUUACAAAGAGCGCUCCCAGCUGAGCUCUCCCUCUGACCAUUAGGGUGGCACAGCACUUAAGAGGUGGUGGUCACCGCAGGUCUGCCAGCAGAGUGAAUGAGCAGUUACUGGUUUACUCCUGCAGAGAAAGACACUCCAGGCUCCACUGAAAGAGAGCAAUGACUGACAUGCAUUGGCUGUGUUGUAGCAAGUUGCACCACGAGGAGCUGGUUUUCGGUGCACAAGAAGAAAAUUUUCUCUUUAUUGCACUGUGUUGUAAGAAUGCUUAUUGGAAAUGUGUGUCUGUGUGUCAGGGGGUUAUAAGCUGCUCUGUGAAACAGAACCACGACGACUGGGUGCACUGAAGGCAGUGUCUAUUGAUUCGUGAAACCGAAAAUAACCUACAGUCUAGGAAGCAUCUUUUCACCAAGUUUUCUUAUUGAUGGGAAUGAAGGGAAAAAAAGGCAAUGUGCAGGGAAGCUAGGGUUAAAUUCCACCUAAUUAAAGAUGCAAACUUCUGAUAUUCCAGUUUUAUAAUAAAACCUUACAAAGAUG
Molecule: long non-coding RNA, 2927 nt
Organism: Gallus gallus (chicken)
Lineage: Eukaryota; Metazoa; Chordata; Aves; Galliformes; Phasianidae
Exons: 4
Source: RefSeq, a predicted model, not a curated record